This is a long non-coding RNA of Ornithorhynchus anatinus (platypus), 652 nucleotides long. RefSeq lists it as uncharacterized. NCBI's taxonomy places the organism in Eukaryota, Metazoa, Chordata, Mammalia, Monotremata, Ornithorhynchidae. The transcript is spliced from 3 exons. The record is from RefSeq and is a predicted model, not a curated record.
AAACCCACCUCCGCCACCUGUCUUGCCGUGUGUCCUUGGAUCUGUCUGACGGCAGGGCUGGCCGGUGUUUGAAAAGAUGGAGUCGGUGCUACCCUAGAAACGCUUUUUGAGCUGGAUCACUCCGGACCCGCCGUGUGAAGACGUCGCGAAAGGUGGGAGAACGGCUGGAGGAGGCGGAAAGAACCAAGAAGGUUUGGAACAGAACAGUGCCCGGAGGUGAGAAGGAGAGAGAGUUUUAAAUGGCCAUUAAGCCAUUUUCAAGUUAUCUGGGGGAAAAAAAACUGUUGACGGGGGCAUUCUGAGACUCAAUUCAGAGAACUGGGAAAGAGUGAAAUUGGUCACACUGAAACUUUCCAAGUGUCUAGCGCUCACUGGAGAGAGCCUCUGGGUACCAUCGAAAAUAAGAUUACCGUAAGAAACCAAGGAGAAAUUGAGAGAAAAAGAAAUCGUUGCUCAUUAUAUUGCUCUGAAUGGGCAAUGUGAUCCCCUGGAGCGGAGGAAGCUGCCUUCCAUCUCUGGGGUCCGGGGACCACCAGAGAUCACCCUCUCCAUGGGGCCGUGGGGAAUCACGUGGUUGUGGUUAAUGAUAACUUCCCUGUCUCUGAGAUUUCCUGGGCUAAGCGCCAAGUUUUUCCAUCUUUGAGAGAGAGAG